GGAUCGAUAGCUCAGUGGGAGAGCACGACGCUGAAGACGUCGCGUGCCUCGGUUCGAAUCCGAGUCGAUCCG
Molecule: transfer RNA, 72 nt
Filed under: Halorubrum ezzemoulense
Lineage: Archaea; Methanobacteriati; Methanobacteriota; Halobacteria; Halobacteriales; Haloferacaceae
Description: tRNA-Phe
Rfam family: tRNA
About the family: Transfer RNA (tRNA) molecules are approximately 80 nucleotides in length. Their secondary structure includes four short double-helical elements and three loops (D, anti-codon, and T loops).
Source: RNAcentral